Molecule: ribosomal RNA, 302 nt
Filed under: uncultured bacterium
Lineage: Bacteria
Description: bacterial SSU rRNA
Rfam family: Bacterial small subunit ribosomal RNA
Source: RNAcentral
CCGGCUAACUCCGUGCCAGCAGCCGCGGUAAUACGGAGGGUGCGAGCGUUAAUCGGAAUUACUGGGCGUAAAGCGCAUGCAGGCGGCCUGUUAAGUCAGAUGUGAAAGCCCGGGGCUUAACCUCGGAAUUGCAUUUGAAACUGGCAGGCUAGAGUCUUGUAGAGGGGGGUAGGAAUUUCAGGUGUAGCGGUGAAAUGCGUAGAGAUCUGAAGGAAUACCAGUGGCGAAGGCGGCCCCCUGGACAAAGACUGACGCUCAGAUGCGAAAGCGUGGGGAGCAAACAGGAUUAGAUACCCUGGUAG